RNAcentral lists this long non-coding RNA (873 nucleotides) under Capsella rubella. RNAcentral describes it as "long non-coding RNA (CRUB_LNC000237)". The record is from RNAcentral. Lineage: Eukaryota; Viridiplantae; Streptophyta; Magnoliopsida; Brassicales; Brassicaceae.
UUGUAGCUGUCCAUAUAUAGCUUUGUAUGUUCAUUCUAAUUCAAGUAAGUAGAGUUUUUACACUCUCUCUUCUAUUCUCUCUCACUUUUACAAACCGCAAACUCUAUACUCUCCCUUUGUUCGAUCAAACUCUUCUAAUCUCCUUAUUCUCUCGAUCUUUUACUUCAAAUCUUACAGAAAUUUGGUCUCAAAUGGGAUAAGAACCCAAAACCAUUGCUUUGAGGCAGUGAAUGGCUUGUAUAAAGUUAUUUUGGGUUAGAAUAUGUUAUAAUACAAUGAAUUUGAUUGAUUACAAGUGCUAGACAUGCAUGAAGAAUGUUUAGAAGUGAGAAGAAAGACUUGUUGAAAUUUGGUCUCAAAUGGGAUAAGAACCCAAAACCAUUGCUUCAAAUCUUACAUAGAAGUGAGAAGAAAGACUUGUUGAAAUUUGGUCUCAAAUGGGAUAAGAACACAAAACCAUUGCUUUGAGGCAGUGAAUGGCUUGUAUAAACUUAUUUUGGUUAAAAUAUGUUAUAAUACAAUGAAUGUGAUUUGAUUACAAGUGCUAGAGAUGCAUAAAGAAUGUUUAGAAGUUAGAAGAAAGACCUAUCGAUAUUUGAUCCCAAAUUGGAUAAGAACCACCAAAACCAUUGCUUUGAGGCAGUGAAUGGCUUGUAUAAAGUUAUUUUGGGUUAGAAUAUGUUACUAAGUACAAUGAAAGUUGAUUGAUUACAAGUGCUAGACAUGCAUGAAGAAUGUUUAGAAGUGAGAAGAAAGACUUGUUGAAAUUUGGUCUCAAAUGGGAUAAGAACACAAAACCAUUGCUUUGAGGCAGUGAAUGGCUUGUAUAAAGUUAUUUUGGGUUAGAAUAUGUUAUAAUACAAUGAAUUUNNN